Poecilia latipinna (sailfin molly) is the source of this 306-nucleotide long non-coding RNA. RefSeq lists it as uncharacterized. NCBI's taxonomy places the organism in Eukaryota, Metazoa, Chordata, Actinopteri, Cyprinodontiformes, Poeciliidae. The transcript has 2 exons. The record is from RefSeq and is a predicted model, not a curated record.
GCUGGGGGGAGAUGGAUCCUGUCCCUUCUUAGCGGCGUGAAGUCUCAACUUCCUCUUGGUUCCAGGGUGCGGUCCUCUGCUGGUCUUCAAUCUGCGUCCUCUUGUUGGCUCUUCUUCAGCGCCGCGGACAAAGAACAGGCGCAGACUGAAGAUCAGCAGAGGACCACACCCUGGGACCAAGGGAGAGUUGAAACUUCGCGCCGCAAAGAAGGGACAAGAUCCAUCAGCCCCCAGCCUUGGUUCCUGAUUCGGCUGACCCCUCUGCCUCCACCCAAUGAUCCGUAUUCUACUGUGGCGGACUUGGAG